This 404-nucleotide ribosomal RNA is filed under the name Verrucomicrobiota bacterium. Its description in RNAcentral is "Verrucomicrobia bacterium partial 16S ribosomal RNA". It matches the Rfam family "Bacterial small subunit ribosomal RNA", at positions 355 to 776 of the family's 1533-position model. Lineage: Bacteria; Pseudomonadati; Verrucomicrobiota. The record is from RNAcentral.
UGGGGAAUAUUGCACAAUGGGCGCAAGCCUGAUGCAGCAACGCCGCGUGAACGAUGAAGGUCUUCGGAUCGUAAAGUUCUGUUGUAGGGGAAGAUAAUGACGGUAACCGGAGAAGAAGCCCCGGCUAACUUCGUGCCAGCAGCCGCGGUAAUACGAAGGGGGCUAGCGUUGUUCGGAUUUACUGGGCGUAAAGCGCACGUAGGCGGACUAUUAAGUCAGGGGUGAAAUCCCGGGGCUCAACCCCGGAACUGCCUUUGAUACUGGUAGUCUUGAGUUCGAGAGAGGUGAGUGGAAUUCCGAGUGUAGAGGUGAAAUUCGUAGAUAUUCGGAGGAACACCAGUGGCGAAGGCGGCUCACUGGCUCGAUACUGACGCUGAGGUGCGAAAGCGUGGGGAGCAAACAGG